UUUUCCAGCACCACCACUGUCAAUGGCUUCUCUUGCAGCAUCUACCGCAGCUGCAUCCAUCGGAGUAUCGGAAAUGCUGGGGAACUUCUCUGUGGCGUCAAGGCCAGCUCCGUCAGCAUCUAGUCCUGUCACUUUCAAGACAGUUGCACUCUUUGGCAAGAAGAAGGCUGCACCUCCACCAAAGAAGGCUGUUGCUGUCACUCCGGCUAGCGAUGAGCUUGCCAAGUGGUAUGGUAAGUGUCGACGACUUUAAACUAUAUCGCUCAGGCAAAGGGGUACCACUCUGUUACAAUGCUAGAGAUUUCGUAAUUUAUCUUUUAAAUCUUUUUGCGAUUAGCUAAGCGAUAGACCAUGUGCUGUCAGGACCCGAGAGAAGAAUUUUCUUACCCCAAGGCCUAUUGGACAGAUCUGAAGUUCCUGAGUACUUGACAGGAGAAGUUCCUGGAGAGUAAGUUGAGUAGUGAGAUCUUUGCCUUAUAUUUCAUACACAUUCAUGGUUACUGAUUUACUUAAUGCAGCUAUGGUUACGAUCCGUUUGGUCUGAGCAAGAAACCAGAAGACUUUGCCAAGUAAGUUUCCAUCUGAAUAUGGAGUUUGAAUCCAAUGGCAAGACUAAUACAAGGAACUUAAGAAUAACAUCAUACGCUAUCUAACAAUGCAGAUACCAGGGUUACGAGUUGAUCCAUGCCCGAUGGGCGAUGUUGGGAGCUGCAGGCUUCAUAAUCCCUGAGGCAUUCAACAAAUAUGGAGCUAAUUGUGGACCUGAAGCUGUUUGGUUCAAAGUAAUUCACCACUUUUAUUACAAUAUGCAUGUCUCUAGAAUCAUACAAAGAACUGGUAUAUUUUAACUGCAUAAUUUCAAGUAUUCACAAACUCAUGCAUGGAAGAAACGAUGCUAGAGAUGAAUCACAGCUUUUUAAGAUCAGAAUUCUCAACUGUGAGAUUGCGUUCAUAUAUGCAGACUGGAGCCCUACUCCUUGAUGGGAACACGCUGAAUUACUUUGGAAAGAACAUUCCUAUAAAUCUUGUUCUUGCUGUCGUUGCUGAGGUUGUUCUUCUUGGCGGGGCAGAGUACUACAGAAUUACCAAUGGUUUGGUAAGCACAAAACUUACGCUUGUUCCUUUGCAUAAGAGAGCUUUAGAAUGAGUUAGUUUAGUUUGAUGGAUAGUAAGAUUCCUUUAUUAACUGUCAGGAUUUGGAGGACAAACUGCACCCAGGCGGUCCAUUUGAUCCGUUGGGGCUAGCAGAUGAUCCAGACCAGGCCGCUUUGCUCAAGGUGAAGGAGAUUAAGAAUGGAAGACUAGCAAUGUUUGCGAUGCUUGGCUUCUUUAUACAAGCUUAUGUCACCGGAGAGGGUCCUGUGGAGAACCUUUCUGCUCAUUUGAGUGAUCCUUUUGGUAACAACUUGCUCAGUGUUAUUGGGGGAGCUGCAGAACGAGUUCCAACUCUUUAAGUUCUCGCUCAUCCAUCUCUUGCUGGGUGAAUUUGGAGGGCAGUUUACCUAAACUACUGCAACUAUGCUACUACUUUAUAGAGAUAUAAUAUAAAUCUUCGAUAGUCAUUUGGUUCCAAAUUUGCAAAGCUUUAAGAGAGAUUCUGAUCUUGGUUCAU
This 1612-nucleotide long non-coding RNA is filed under the name Daucus carota (carrot). Its description in RNAcentral is "long non-coding RNA (DCAR_LNC000275)". The record is from RNAcentral. Lineage: Eukaryota; Viridiplantae; Streptophyta; Magnoliopsida; Apiales; Apiaceae.